GACGAAGGGGGCUAGCGUUGUUCGGAAUUACUGGGCGUAAAGCGAGUGUAGGUGGUUGUCCAAGUUGGAUGUGAAAGCCUUGAGCUCAACUCAAGAAAUGCAUUCAGGACUGGGCGGCUAGAGGACCGGAGAGGAUAGUGGAAUUCCCAGUGUAGUGGUGAAAUACGUAGAGAUUGGGAAGAACACCAGUGGCGAAGGCGGCUAUCUGGACGGUUUCUGACGCUAAGACGCGAAAGCGUGGGGAGCAAACGGG
Molecule: ribosomal RNA, 253 nt
Filed under: uncultured bacterium
Lineage: Bacteria
Description: partial 16S ribosomal RNA
Rfam family: Bacterial small subunit ribosomal RNA
Source: RNAcentral